GUUCACUGACUCCUCACUCCCUACACUAACCCCGACCCCUUCCUCUGUUACUAUCCUGAACUAAUAAUCCAGUGUGUGGAUUAUUAGCUGUCAUGAAAUCACACAAAUGAUAAACUAACUGACGUCUCUUGCUGAUUGAUAUUUGAUUGACAAUGAUGGUAUCAGUGUCUCAGUGUUGAAUGAAGUUUUUUUUUUUCCUGUGUCGUCAGCAAUGUUGAUGAUAAAAAAUGAGAAGUUGAUAAGUAAAACAUUUACAUUACAUUUAUGCAUUUAUCAGGUGCUUUUAUCCUAAGCGAUUUACAAGAGGAGGAUUAACACUCAAGCAUGUGGUUCCUCUGGGAAUCGAACCCAGGAUGCUCUCUGCUUCUGAGCCGGGCAUGCUAACCGCUAGAACUAUGGAACCAGUAACCAAAAGUUAAUGAAAAAAAGCUUAGCUAAUGUAGAUAAACCCCAAGCCAGUUAGUCUGAAAAUGAUGUCAUGGAUCAAAUAUAACUGAAGAUCAAUUGAUGUGUGAGGUUUAACAAAUAUUGUUGACACUUGACAAUUAAAAAAAGCUGAAUGUUAGACCACAGUUAUAGCCACAAUCUAAUGUUUGAACAAAAACCCUGAUAUUUUGGAAAACCAUAUUUUUAAAUGGUCUGUGAUGAAAGGGGGAAAAAUAUGAGACAAAGGUAAAAAAAAAAAAAAGA
Molecule: long non-coding RNA, 690 nt
Organism: Cynoglossus semilaevis (tongue sole)
Lineage: Eukaryota; Metazoa; Chordata; Actinopteri; Pleuronectiformes; Cynoglossidae
Exons: 2
Source: RefSeq, a predicted model, not a curated record